UACGUGUGUCGAGGGUUGUGA
This 21-nucleotide non-coding RNA is filed under the name Caenorhabditis elegans. The record is from RNAcentral. Lineage: Eukaryota; Metazoa; Nematoda; Chromadorea; Rhabditida; Rhabditidae.